CCAUGUCAUUAUGAAUUUCAAUCUUCGGUGAAAUAGCACCCCUUGCAUCGUCAAAAUGUACCUUUACUUUUUUCCAACAACGGUCUCUACUACUACUCUCACUUUCAUCUUGGGACAACCUUUUAGAGACAUGAGUAGUUUGAGUAGGAUUCGCCCUCGUAUACCAUCGGAGGUGUGUGAGAUCUCUCAUCUUCAUGUUGAUUUAGCAACUUGGCAUCCGAAGGAGGAACAUCAAUGAUAAGGGCCUCAUUUAUAGGUGCUUCAUCAGAAUUCCCCAAAUGUGUGGCGAUAGUCGACCCAGAGAUGUCCAUCAACAUCUGUAGAUGAUGACUAAGAAAAUCCCCAUGAGUCUUUUUUCACCAAGUCUAAUAGUCGGUUCCGAAGAACUUGCCCAUAUUAGGCAAAACUGAAGGAAAAGUUGCUUAUGAGGAUGAUCGGCUCAUUGUGCAAAUCCUCCCAAAUAUUAGUACUUUUUCUAAGGAGGCAGUGCAAAUGUCGUUCUUCAUGAUGCCUAAAAUAUUCUGAUAAAAUCCAAAC
RNAcentral lists this long non-coding RNA (537 nucleotides) under Capsicum annuum. RNAcentral's name for it is "long non-coding RNA (CANN_LNC019360)". Lineage: Eukaryota; Viridiplantae; Streptophyta; Magnoliopsida; Solanales; Solanaceae. The record is from RNAcentral.